UGGAAAAUAGGAAGCAAUUUUCAUUAUGAUAGUUCAAGAAUAGAUUUGCAUAUCCAUGCAUAUCAUUUUUUGCAUAACUCCUUGGUAAUAUCUUAACGAGCAUACAUAGCCAGGCUAAUAAACACCAUCUAGAGAAGAAAAUACAGAAGUUAAAGCUAAAAUCAGGCUAAAUUUUCCUGAUGGGUGUGCAAAUUUGCGCACACGCACAUGUAUAUA
This 216-nucleotide unclassified non-coding RNA is filed under the name Hevea brasiliensis (rubber tree). Lineage: Eukaryota; Viridiplantae; Streptophyta; Magnoliopsida; Malpighiales; Euphorbiaceae. The record is from RNAcentral.